RNAcentral lists this ribosomal RNA (253 nucleotides) under uncultured bacterium. RNAcentral describes it as "partial 16S ribosomal RNA". It matches the Rfam family "Bacterial small subunit ribosomal RNA", at positions 524 to 776 of the family's 1533-position model. The record is from RNAcentral.
UACAGAGGGGGCAAGCGUUGUUCGGAAUUACUGGGCGUAAAGGGCGCGUAGGCGGCCUUCUAAGUCGAACGUGAAAUCCCCGGGCUCAACCCGGGAACUGCGUCCGAUACUGGAAGGCUUGAAUCCGGGAGAGGGAUGCUGAAUUCCAGGUGUAGCGGUGAAAUGCGUAGAUAUCUGGAGGAACACCGGUGGCGAAGGCGGCAUCCUGGACCGGCAUUGACGCUGAGGCGCGAAAGCCAGGGGAGCAAACGGG